This 253-nucleotide ribosomal RNA is filed under the name uncultured bacterium. RNAcentral describes it as "partial 16S ribosomal RNA". It matches the Rfam family "Bacterial small subunit ribosomal RNA", at positions 524 to 776 of the family's 1533-position model. The record is from RNAcentral.
UACGUAGGGUGCAAGCGUUAAUCGGAAUUACUGGGCGUAAAGCGUGCGCAGGCGGUUGUGCAAGUCAUAUGUGAAAUCCCCGGGCUCAACCUGGGAACUGCAUUUGUGACUGCACAGCUGGAGUGCGGCAGAGGGGGAUGGAAUUCCGCGUGUAGCAGUGAAAUGCGUAGAUAUGCGGAGGAACACCGAUGGCGAAGGCAAUCCCCUGGGCCUGCACUGACGCUCAUGCACGAAAGCGUGGGGAGCAAACAGG